AUUGAACGCUGGCGGAAUGCUUUACACAUGCAAGUCGAACGGCAGCACGGGAGCUUGCUCCUGGUGGCGAGUGGCGAACGGGUGAGUAAUGCGUCGGAACGUACCGAGUAAUGGGGGGAUAACGCAGCGAAAGCUGUGCUAAUACCGCAUACGCCCUGAGGGGGAAAGUGGGGGAUCGCAAGACCUCACGUUAUUCGAGCGGCCGACGUCUGAUUAGCUAGUUGGUGGGUAAAGGCCUACCAAGGCGACGAUCAGUAGCGGGUCUGAGAGGAUGAUCCGCCACACUGGAACUGAGACACGGUCCAGACUCCUACGGGAGGCAGCAGUGGGGAAUUUUGGACAAUGGGGGCAACCCUGAUCCAGCCAUUCCGCGUGAGUGAAGAAGGCCU
This 389-nucleotide ribosomal RNA is filed under the name uncultured bacterium. Its description in RNAcentral is "bacterial SSU rRNA". It matches the Rfam family "Bacterial small subunit ribosomal RNA", at positions 30 to 417 of the family's 1533-position model. The record is from RNAcentral.